Molecule: ribosomal RNA, 253 nt
Filed under: uncultured bacterium
Lineage: Bacteria
Description: partial 16S ribosomal RNA
Rfam family: Bacterial small subunit ribosomal RNA
Source: RNAcentral
UACAUGGGGUGCAAACGUUGCUCGGAAUUAUUGGGCGUAAAGCGCGCGUAGGCGGUUACUUAAGUCGGAUGUGAAAGCCCUCGGCUUAACUGAGGAAGUGCACCCGAAACUGAGUAGCUAGAGUACGAAAGAGGGUCGCGGAAUUCCCGGUGUAGAGGUGAAAUUCGUAGAUAUUCGCAAGAACACCAGUGGCGAAGGCGGCUCACUGGCCCGGAACUGACGCUGAGGUGCGAAAGCGUGGGGAGCAAACAGG